Molecule: ribosomal RNA, 253 nt
Filed under: uncultured bacterium
Lineage: Bacteria
Description: partial 16S ribosomal RNA
Rfam family: Bacterial small subunit ribosomal RNA
Source: RNAcentral
GACAGAGGGUGCAAACGUUGUUCGGAAUUACUGGGCGUAAAGCGCGUGUAGGCUGCUCUGUGUGUCGGAUGUGAAAUCCCCGGGCUCAACCUGGGAAUUGCAUUCGAUACUGGAUAGCUAGAGUUCGGCAGAGGGAAGCGGAAUUUCCGGUGUAGCGGUGAAAUGCGUAGAUAUCGGAAGGAACAUCAGUGGCGAAAGCGGCUUCCUGGACCAGAACUGACGAUCAGGCACGAAAGCGUGGGGAGCAAACAGG